UAAGAAAACAAUUUUCUGAACAAUUUACAUUAUCCUGAACAGAAUUAUUAAAUAUAAUGAAAAGGAAAGGUGAAAGUAAACAAACACAUCUGUUAACCUCCUUAUUUGUUCACAUAUUAAAACAAUCCUCAACAGCUGUUCACCCAAUUUAAAUUAAACCAUUUAAAUCACUUGAAUAAUAAAAAUAUUUGGAUCCAUUUUUUCAUGAGUGCUCCUCAUAUAUGAUCUAUGGACAUACGCACAUAUAGACAUACAACACAAAACACAAGUGUGCACACAUAACAUACAACACAUAAGCCAAAGUAAAGGCCUUGUAGCUUUUCACAGGUGAAAUCUCCAUUGCAAUGUUUAAAAAUUCCACAGUCAAAAAAUAAAACUGAUCAGAAAAACGCUAACCUAGGUCUGAAAGAGCUCAAAAAAUGAAAUAGAACUUUAUGAUGUGGGAAAAGGCAAUAAUAAAAUAGAUAUUGAAAAAGACAUCCUGGUUACCACCUGGGUUUGACUCCUUUUUGGAUAACCCAUCCUUUUUCCUGUAACUUGCAUAAUGGGUCUGAAGGUAUUUCCACAAGCAAGCCCCAAGGUUUUUUACAUUUGAAAUAGGCUUUAAUGGUGUUCAUUAUUCAUUAGCCUCCAGGUGUGGGAGAACCACUGUUGCAGAUCAAGAAUAGCCAAGUUGGAGCUCUGGAUAUCAGCUGUUAUGGAUUUGAGCCAAAUCAUCUUCUUUUUGGUCUGUAGAAAUCACUUUAGUUAGUCUCUCUGGAAUCCAAAUCGGCUGCUGUUCUCCCUGUGGAAACACACAAAACAGAACCCGACUCCAGACAAUCACUGGGUCAGGACCUUUCCAUUGUCGUGUUAGAAUAUCCUUCCAAAUUACCUU
Molecule: long non-coding RNA, 877 nt
Filed under: Marmota monax (woodchuck)
Lineage: Eukaryota; Metazoa; Chordata; Mammalia; Rodentia; Sciuridae
Source: RNAcentral